This 449-nucleotide ribosomal RNA is filed under the name uncultured bacterium. Its description in RNAcentral is "bacterial SSU rRNA". It matches the Rfam family "Bacterial small subunit ribosomal RNA", at positions 1 to 460 of the family's 1533-position model. The record is from RNAcentral.
UAGAGUUUGAUCCUGGCUCAGGACGACCUUUUACGGCGUGCUUAACACAUGCAAGUCGAACGGAAAGGCCCUUCUGGGUACUCGAGUGGCGAACGGGUGAGUAACACGUGGGUGAUCUGCCCUGCACUUUGGGAUAAGCCUGGGAAACUGGGUCUAAUACCGGAUAGGACUACGGCCUGCAUGGGUUGUGGUGGAAAGCUUUUGCGGUGUGGGAUGGGCCCGCGGCCUAUCAGCUUGUUGGUGGGGUGAUGGCCUACCAAGGCGACGACGGGUAGCCGGCCUGAGAGGGUGACCGGCCACACUGGGACUGAGAUACGGCCCAGACUCCUACGGGAGGCAGCAGUGGGGAAUAUUGCACAAUGGGCGCAAGCCUGAUGCAGCGACGCCGCGUGGGGGAUGACGGCCUUCGGGUUGUAAACCUCUUUCAGUAGGGACGAAACGUAAGUGAC